GAUGAACGCUGGCGGCGUGCCUAAUACAUGCAAGUCGAGCGAACGGACGAGAAGCUUGCUUUUCUGAUGUUAGCGGCGGACGGGUGAGUAACACGUGGAUAACCUACCUAUAAGACUGGGAUAACAUCGGGAAACCGGAGCUAAUACCGGAUAAUAUUUUGAACCGCAUGGUUCAAAAGUGAAAGACGGUCUUGCUGUCACUUAUAGAUGGAUCCGCGCUGCAUUAGCUAGUUGGUAAGGUAACGGCUUACCAAGGCAACGAUGCAUAGCCGACCUGAGAGGAUGAUCGGCCACACUGGAACUGAGACACGGUCCAGACUCCUACGGGAGGCAGCAGUAGGGAAUCUUCCGCAAUGGGCUAAAGCCUGACGGAGCAACGCCGCGUGAGUGAUGAAGGUCUUCGGAUCGUAAAACUCUGUUAUUAGGGAAGAACAUAUGUGUAAGUAACUGUGCACGUCUUGACGGUACCUAAUCAGAAAGCCACGGCUAACUACGUG
RNAcentral lists this ribosomal RNA (497 nucleotides) under uncultured bacterium. Its description in RNAcentral is "partial 16S ribosomal RNA". It matches the Rfam family "Bacterial small subunit ribosomal RNA", at positions 28 to 507 of the family's 1533-position model. The record is from RNAcentral.